Long non-coding RNA from Symphalangus syndactylus (siamang), 8139 nucleotides. RefSeq lists it as uncharacterized. Lineage: Eukaryota; Metazoa; Chordata; Mammalia; Primates; Hylobatidae. The record is from RefSeq and is a predicted model, not a curated record.
CCUUCCUCCCCGCCCCGCCAGCUCCUGCCUUCUGCUGUCUCGGAUCUCCUAUGCACGGGAAACCUGUUGAAGGUAGGACAGCCGAAAGAGACAGGGUUUCACCAUGUUUCCCAAGCUGGUCUCCAACUCCUGAGCUCAAGCUGCCUGCCCGCCUCGGCCUCUGAAAGUGCUGGGAUUACAGACAUGAGCCACUGCACCUGGCCUAUUUAAUUUUUUUAAAAAAAGCUUUGACAAGAUUUCUACAUUGAAGACUCUAUCAAACAAGUAACCAAUAAAUUGAGAUUACUAAUUUAUUACAUCAAUGAGCAAGUGAACAAAUGAACAGAUUAAUAUGUAAUAAAGUAACUUAGGUUAGAGGUAAGAAAUAAUGAGUAGAGCUACAAAGAUACUUUUCUAGAGGAGUAUAGGAUUGGUGUUGACUAAUCGUAAAUUCUUAUAAAAGAUAAUAUGAAAUAUAGAAUUAAAUAUCCAUUAUUACAAGUGAAGUCUACCGGAUUUCUUUUUUUUGAGACAGUCUCGCCUCGCUUUGUCACCCAGGCUGGGAUUAAAGGCACGUGCCACCACACCUGGCUAAUUUUUAUAUUUCUUUAGUAGAAACAGGGUUUUACCACAUUGGCCAGGCUGGUCUCAAACUCCUGACCUCAAGUAAUCCACCUGCCUUGGCCUCCCAAAGUGCUGGGAUUAAAGGCGUGGGCCACCACACCUGACCUCUUUCUUUUUUUGAAGCAAGGUCUCUGUCACCCAAGCUGGAGUGCAGUGGCAUGAUCUUAACUGUUUCAAUUGGCAAUAAUCAGUAAUAAUUGUGCCUCAGAUAAACCUUAUUGGCUAUGAUACUGCCACUGCCCAAAGCUGAUUAUAGGUCACUGUAGCCUCGACCUCCUGGGCUCAAGUAAUCCUCCUCAGCCUCCCAAAGUGUAGGGAUUAUAGGCAUGAGCCACUGCACCUGGUCCUGAUUUCUUUUAUAUUAAAAAAAAAAAAUCAGAGCAUAUAAACUUAAAAGAUCGUUUCAAAUUGUAUAUUGAAAAAAAACGAAAAAAAAAAACUUUUUUUUUUUUUUUGAGACAGUCUCACUCUGUCACCCAGGCUGGAGUGCAGUGGCACAAUCUCGGCUCACUUCAACCUCUGCCUCCCGGGCCCAAGCUAUUCUUGGGCCUCAGCCUCCUGAGUACUGGGAUUACAGGCACACACCAUCAUGCCCAGCUAAUUUUUAUAUUUUUAGUAGAGACAGGGUUUCACCAUGUUGGCCAGGGUGGUCUGAAACUCUUGGCCUCAAGUGAUCCACCCACCUUGGCCUCCCAAAGUGCUGGGAUUACAGGCAUGAGCCACCGCGCCGGGCCUAAGGGAAUUUUUUUUUUUUCCUUUUGAGACGGACUCUCACUGUCACCCAGGCUGGUGGAGUGCAAUGGUGCGGUCUCGGCUCACUGCAACCUCUGCCUCCCGGGUUUAAGCGAUUCUCCCACCUCCACCUCCCUGGGGCUACAGGCACGUGCCACCACACCUGGCUAAUUUUUGUAUUUUUAGUAGAGACGGAGUUUCACUAUGUUGGCCAGGCUGGUCUUCAUCUCCUGACCUUGUGAUCCGCCCACUUCGGCCUCCCAAAGUGCUAGGAUUUACAGGCGUGAGCCACCGCGCCAGGCCAGGAAUUUUUUUUUUUUAAUUUUAAUUUUUAAUUUUUGUGGGUAUAUAGGUGUAUAUAUUAAGUGAAUUUCAUGUGAAUAUGUAAAAGGUAUAAGUCAGUGACUCUGAAUGGAGGUGGAGGGAAGAGGAGGAGAGAAUGCCUUCCAGAGAUAAUCACAUAAGAACUGGAUGAAAGAGUCAGUGCUUUUUCAAAUUAUAAAAAUUAUACUUUCUGAAACUUUUUUUUUUUUUUUUGAGAUGGAGUUUCACUCUUGUUGCCCAGGCUGCUGGAGUACAAUGGCGUGAUCUUGGCUCACUGCAACCUCUGCCUCCUGGGUUCAAGCAGUUCUGCUGCCUCAGCUUCCCGAGUAGCUGGGAUUACAGGCAUGAGCCAUCACGCCCAGCUAAUUUUGUAUUUUUAGUAAAGAAAGGGUUUCUCCAUGUUGGUCAGGAUGGUCUCGAUCUCUUGACCUCGUGAUCCACCCGCCUUGGCCCCCCAAAGUGCUGGGAUUAUAGGUGUGAGCCACCGCGCAUGGCCUUUUUUUUUUUUUUUUUGAGACGGAGUCUCCAUCUGUCGCCAGGCUGGAGUGCGGUGGCGCAAGCUCAGCUCACUGCAACCUCCGCCUCCCAGGUUCAAGUGAUUCUCCUGCCUCAGCCUCCCAAGUAGCUGGGACUCCAGGUGCCCAACACCACGCCUGGCUAAUUUUUUGUAUUUUUAGUAGAGACGGGGUUUCACCAUGUUGGCCAGGGUGGUCUCAAUCUCUUGACCUUGUGAUCCACCCACCUUGGCCUCCCAAAGUGCUGGGCUUACAGCGGUGAACCACUGCGCCUGGCCCUCUUCUUUUCUCUCUCUUAGUCACCCAGACUGGAGUGCAGUGGCCAAAUCAUAGCUUCAGGUUAUGAUCAUAACCUGGAGCUUCUGAGCUCGAGCAAUCCUCCCACCUCGGCCUCCUGAGUAGCUGGGUGGUACAGGACCACCACACCUGACUAAUUUUUUAAUAUUUGUAUUCAGACGAGGUCUCACUGUGUUGCCGAAGCUGUCCUGGAAGUCCUGGACUGAAGUGAUCCUCCCACCUCGGCCUCCCAAAGUGCUGGGAUUACAGGUGUGAGCCACCAUGACCAGCCAAAACCUUGAUUUUUCUGUCACCCCCUCCACUGCACCCUGAGAAUCACUGCUGUAGUAGACUACUGAAGACAGUAUGUUGAAAAUGUUCUCAUUUGGUAAGAAGUAAUUCAAACUACAUUCACGUGAUUAUGAUCUCGAAACUAAUAUGACCUAGGAAAGAGACCCUAGUAACAUUAUCUUAACCAUUUCUUAAGGACCUUAAACCCUAGUGACAGUAUAUUAACCUUUUCUUAAGGACCUCAGCCCAUUGUGCUGCUGUGACCACAAAAGCCAUAUAAUGUUGGGUGACCUGAAUAUUAACACAGUAUUAUAAAAUCCUCUGCAUCUGCACUUUGAAAAAGCAUCACAGGGCUGGGAGCAGUGGCCCACGCCUGUAAUCCCAGCACUUUGGAAGGCCAAGACGAGUGAAUUACCUGAGGUCAGGAGUUUGAGACUGGCCUGGUCAACAUGGUGACACCCCAUGUCUACUAAAAAUACAAAAAUUAGCUGGGCGUGGUGGCGGGUGCCUGUAAUCCUAGCUACUUGGGAGGCUGAGACAGGAGAAUCGUUUGAACCUGGGAGGUGGAGGUUACAGUGAGCUGAGAUCGUACCAUUGUACUCCAGUCUGGGUGACAAAUUUUACUCCAGUCUGGGUGACAAGAGCAAAACUUGGUCUCAAAAAAAAAAAAAAAAAGAAAGAAAAAGCAUCACAGGCCAGGCACGGUGGCUCACGCCUAUAAUCCUAGUACUUUGAGAGGCCAAAGCAAGCGGAUCACUAGAGCCCAGGAGUUCAAGAUCAGCCUGAACUACAUGGCAAAAUGCCAUCUCUUAAAGAAAAGGAAAGGGGAGGGGGAAAGAAAAGAAAAGAAAGGAUAUGAAUAAAUUGCCUUAUUUAUAUAGAUAAAUAAAUAAAUUUCAGCAUCACAGACAUCUGAACCCAUACCCCACAAUUAAGAACCAGUGGUUAUUUUACCCUCAUUUUAUACACCAGGAAACUAAGAUCCAGAGAGGUUAAAAUGACUUAUUAAAGAUGAUGAGAGCCUGGGCGUGGUGGCUCACUCCUGUAAUCUCAGCACUUUGGGAGGCCAAGGCUGGUGGAUCAUCUGAGGUCAGGAGUUCCACACCAGCCUGGCCAACAUGGCAAAACCCCGUCUCUACUCAAAAUACAAAAAUUAGCCGGGCGUGGUGGCAUGCACCUGUAAUCCCAGCUACGCAGGAGGCUGAGGCAGGAGAAUUGCUGGAACCUGGGAGGCAGAGGCUACAGUGAGCCGAGAUUGCGCCACUGCACUCCAACCUGGGCAACAGAGCAAGACUCCAUCCCCACCAAAAAGAAAAAAAAAAGACGAUGAGAUAGUUAUUGGUGGAUCUAGGCAUCAGAUCUCCUAAAGUCCAAUCGAAUGCUCUUAACUACUAUUUUGGAAACCAUUAAUUCCUAUUUUCAGUAUUCAGAGUUUUCAUCCAGUGUGCAGUUCUGGUCAUCACAAUUUUAAAAAAGUAAUAAAAGUGUCUAAAGAGAAACAAAUGAGAUAAAAGGAUAAAGGAUACAUUGCCUUAUUUAUUUAUAUCCCAACCUUAUUACAAAAAGCCUUACAAGAUGCAGAUAUUAUAGUAAUAUAAAAGGAUUAAAACUUAGGAAAAUGAGAAUAAGGAAAAUAAAAGUAGAAAAGGAAGACAGAACCAAGAACAUGACUAGCAUACAAAAUACAUAAACACUUGCUGAAGGUAGACCACAAAUUGGGCUCUAAAUGGCCUAGUAUCAGUACAAACAGAAAAAUACAAUCAGUUGAAUAUUUAGUGUCCUUAAGGUAAAAACCAAACAGCAAUUCAGGAAAAGCAUAACUGGGUCCAGAGAAAAUUUCUCCCAUGCAUUCUUAAAUAGAACAUUAUGAACUGUUAUGAUAAACACCCUUUACAGUAUCCACAGCAAUUAAAUUUAUUUUAUUUUUUUCCUGAGACAGGAUCUCACUCUGUUGCUCAGGCUGGAUGCAGUGGCACGAUCUUCACUCAUUGCAACCUCCAUCUCCUGGGUUCAAGCAAUUCUUCCCCCUCAGCCUCCUGAGUAGCUGGGACUACAGUGUGUGCCAUCAUGACCGGCUAAUUUUUGUAUUUUUUUUGGGAGAGACGGGGUUUCACCAUGUUGGCCAAGCUGGUCUCGAACUCCUGACCUCAGGUGAUCCGCCCACCUCAGCCUCCUGAAGUGCUGGGAUUACAAGUGUGAGCCACCACACCCGGCGAGCAAUUAAAUUUCAUAGAGAUUUUCAUAUGGAUUACCAAAAUCCAAUUCAGAAAAAGCAAUUCUGCAGAGGCCAAUAAAAUGCCAGCUAUGCAUGGGGAAAUCUGGCUUAAUCUAGAGACAGAAUUAAUAAAUAGAACUACAGAGUACUCUCCAGACUGUCUUUUGUCUAGAGAGAUUAGAUGUAACUGAAUAAUAUGAUCUAGAUUAAAAACUUUCCCUUCAAGUCUCAGGACAAAAAUGAAAAUUGUGAGAAGUUAGUUUAAGAAAAGUGAAAAGAAGUCAUAAAGGCCAAAACUGUAUACAAAUUUAAGGUCCAGAUGAUUUUCCUUACUAAAGGAAAAGGUUAUUGAGAUAUGUCUCUAACCUUCAGUCUCUUUUUUUUUUUUUUUUUUUUUGAGACAGAGUCUACCUCUGUCACCCAGGAGUGCAAUGGCACAAUCUCGGCUCACUGCAACCUUGGCCUCCAGGGUUCAAGCAGUUCUCCUGCUUCAGCCUUCCGAGUAGCUGGGACUACAGGUGCGCAACACCAUGCCCAGCUAAUUUUUGUAUUUUUUAGUAGAGACAAGGUUUCACCAUGUUGGUCACGCUGGUCUCGAACUCUUGACCUCAACUGAUCUGCCCACCUUGGCCUCCCAAAUAACCUUAAAUCUUAAGGUUGAUGCAUGCCUCUUAAUCUCUUGGUUUGCCCAUCAGAAACUGAAUCAUGGGCUGACUAGGAGAGAUUAUCAGCUUAAAAAUCCUAUGCUUUUCAAAGAGGUUUUAUUUUGGAUAACUGUUCCAAUUAUAGACCUAGAGAAGACAUUUAACCCACCCAUGUUUCAGUUUCUAUUUUCUUCCUCACUAGAUUAUUUUAUUCACUUUUCAAUUUUUAAAAAUUAGAUUUAUUGCAGACUGGCCUCAAGCUCCCAGACUAUAUUUUUAAGCUGCAUUAUUUAGGGAUUGAAAUGCCAGCUUUUGAGACUUUUGAAAAAUUCACAGGCUGGGUGUGGAGGCUCACACCUGUAAAGGUUGCAGUGAGCUGAGAUCAUGCCACUGCACUCCAACCUGGGUGACAAGAGUGAGACCCUAUCUCAAAAACAAAAAAAAGGGCCUGGUGCAGUGGCUCACACCUGUAAUUCCAGCACUUUGGGAGGCCGAGGCAGGCCGAUUACUUGAGGUCAGGAGUUUGAGACCAGCCUGGCCAACAUGGUGAAACCCUGUCUCUACUGAAAAAUACAAAAAUUAGCUGGGCAUAAUAGUGUGCAUCUGUAAUCUCAGCUACUCGGGAGGCUGAGGCAUGAAAAUCACUUGAACCCAGGAGGAGGAGGUUGCAGUGAGCUGAGAUCACGCCACUGCACUCCAGCCUGGGCAACAGAGUAAGACUCUGUUUCAAAAAAAAAAAAAAUUCAUAUUGCUUCUGAGAAGCCUAUUAAACACAUCAAUAGCAGCCUGGGAACCCAUGAAGUAUUAUUAUUGCUCAGGAAAGGAAACAUGGCAGAGAAACAAGCAGAGGCAGCUCUGGCUGACAGCCUGAGGGUAAGAGCACUGGAGAAGUAAAGAAAAGGAAAAGGUCACCACCCUGAUCUGACAUGUUGAAUUGAGAGGUAGGUUGUAUGAUAGGGAAGGUAUAGCAGCUGUGGCUGCCAGUAGCAGAAUGUCCAAGGUUGGAACUCUGGUCUAAAGCCUAGAACAGAACGUUAAGAGGCUACAAAAUAAAAACAAACUAGAUUAUCAAGGUGGUCAUACUGAGUGGGCAGGGAUGGAGAUCUUCAGGCUCCCAGCUGGGUCCCAAUUUACAGUAGAGAGGCUCAAACAGGGAUAGGGUAGAGCAAGAAGGACUCCAGAUCACAGUCAAAGUCGUCGAAGGGCAUGGUCUCCGCUGAACUGGGCUGGGUAGCUUGUGUCUCCAUGACAAAGUUCACUGGCUGCUUCUGUAGGAGCUCUGGGUCGAAGGCCACACCCCGAAAGAAAGGGUGGACCUGGAAGUGAUGCAGAUAACGUAGACGAUGGAGGGGGUUCUGGCAUAAGAGCUGAAGGAAAAUAGAGCAUGAAGGAUGAGUGACUAGGACAGGAAAGGCCUGAACAGAAAGGAUGGAAAAGAAGAAGUUCAUGGAGCUGUGGAGGGUAGGAAUAAGAACCCUGAAGAGUAGAUGAUUUGUAAAAGAGGGAGAAAUAGAGGCUAAUUUGGGGCAAAGGUGGGAAUAAGGAGCUGUGCUUGUGAGUUUUCAGAUGAGUGUACAGUGUUCCACUCUCUCAGAAGGGACCUCUCUGUUCUAGAUGGGGAGGAGAUUUGGGGGACCAGGAACUUAGGAAUGUGACUCAGUACAGCUUAGACGGCAAGUAGUUAGGUAGUUAAGUUGGAGCCCCCCCAAAAAAAUUGAUGAGAGGAAUGGGGAAAAAUCACUUUAAUGAAGGCAGGAGAGCACAAAUGGUUUGGUAGCAAAGAAGGAAAGCAGUGCUCAUCCUUACCUCAUGGAGCAGGAGUGAGAGGCCCUGGUUAAGAGAAGCUGGGAUCUCAGAGUCACUGUGGGUCACACUUGCCAACAUGGCCACAUGAUCUCUCUCUGCAGCCACUGGAAACUGAGUUAAGAGAUACGGAGUGGAGGUGGGGGCAGGGGUUCAUUCCUUAGUAGGAAUACGGCAAGAUUUCCUAAGGUCUUCCUUCUUCCCACAAGGCAAAGCUCUUCUCUGCCCAAAACUACUACUAUUCUCUCACCUUUCCAGUCGCCAGAGAGAAAAGCAAGACACCCAGGGACCACCAAUCAGCAGCAUGGUUGUAAGGUCCUCCACUUAGGACCUCUGGGGCUACAGAUUUCAAAGAUACUCAUCACUGACAUCCUUUAGCUAUCCUCCUGCCCAAUGCUUACCCAUCAGCUUUAACCUCUCUCACCCAUGUACUGAAGAGUGCCACAGAUAGUGUAGGCUCGAGCUCCCUGGGGCACGUGGCGGGACAGACCAAAGUCUGUCAGUUUCAGAUGGCCUAUGAAAGAAGGUAAGACAACUGCACCACUGUUCCACCCCUCAUCAGCCAUGAUUUAUUCCCAAACCAAAGUACCUCUCAUCCUGGGGCUAAGGAAGGAAAAAGACUUACCUCGUUCAUCUAGAAGAAUAUUCUCCAUCUGAAAGAUCACAGUACCAGGACCAAUUCGGCAGCAAAGAGACGGAUGGAAGCCUCAGGAAAGCAGCCAACAGCCGACCAAAG